Molecule: unclassified non-coding RNA, 340 nt
Filed under: plant metagenome
Description: partial contains small subunit ribosomal RNA, internal transcribed spacer 1, and 5.8S ribosomal RNA
Source: RNAcentral
UUUCCGUAGGUGAACCUGCGGAAGGAUCAUUAACACGUAUUCUUACGUACUUCCAAACACCCCUCUGCGAACAAACAAAAAUCCAGCCUUCACCGGCUGGUAACCUCUAAAAACCAAAAUCCUAGAUUUCAUUCCCUCGUGGAUGGGAUCUAUGUCGCUGCAACCGGUUCCUUCGGGGACCCGCUUGGGCCGCUGCCUUCCCCUAACCGGGGGGCUAUGCGUGUUUAUCAAGCCAGCGUUAACCCAACAAAACCCUUGAACCUAACUGCUCUGAAACCUUUAACCUUUCGAGGUUAACCAAACACAAAAACAACUCUUAACAACGGAUAUCUUGGCUCUC